ACGAACGCUGGCGGCAUGCCUUAUACAUGCAAGUCGAACGCGAAAGCACUUUCGGGUGUUAGUAGAGUGGCAAACGGGUGAGUAACGCGUGGGAAUAUACCUUCAGGUGCGGAAUAGCCUCGGGAAACUGGGAUUAAUACCGCAUGAUGUCUUCGGACUAAAGAUUUAUCGCCUGAAGAUUAGCCCGCGUCAGAUUAGCUAGUUGGUGGGGUAAUAGCCUACCAAGGCAACGAUCUGUAGCUGGUCUGAGAGGACGAUCAGCCACAUUGGGACUGAGACACGGCCCAAACUCCUACGGGAGGCAGCAGUAGGGAAUAUUGGACAAUGGACGCAAGUCUGAUCCAGCAAUGCCGCGUGAAUGAUGAAGGCCUUAGGGUUGUAAAGUUCUUUAAGUGGGGAAGAUAAUGACGGUACCCACAGAAUAAGCACCGGCUAACUCCGU
RNAcentral lists this ribosomal RNA (442 nucleotides) under uncultured bacterium. RNAcentral describes it as "bacterial SSU rRNA". It matches the Rfam family "Bacterial small subunit ribosomal RNA", at positions 29 to 506 of the family's 1533-position model. The record is from RNAcentral.